CCUACGGGUGGCAGCAGUGAGGAAUAUUGGUCAAUGGACGAGAGUCUGAACCAGCCAAGUAGCGUGAAGGAUGACUGCCCUAUGGGUUGUAAACUUCUUUUAUAUGGGAAUAAAAUGUUCCACGUGUGGGAUUUUGUAUGUACCAUAUGAAUAAGGAUCGGCUAACUCCGUUCCAGCAGCCGCGGUAAUACGGAGGAUCCGAGCGUUAUCUGGAUUUAUUGGGUUUAAAGGGAGCGUAGGUGGAUUGUUAAGGCAGUUGUGAAAGUUUGCGGCUCAACCGUAAAAUUGCAGUUGAAACUGGCAGUCUUGAGUACAGUAGAGGUGGGCGGAAUUCGUGGUGUAGCGGUGAAAUGCUUAGAUAUCACGAAGAACUCCGAUUGCGAAGGCAGUUCACUGGACUGCAACUGACACUGAGGCUCGAAAGUGUGGGUAUCAAACAGGAUUAGAUACCCUAGUAGUC
RNAcentral lists this ribosomal RNA (460 nucleotides) under uncultured bacterium. RNAcentral's name for it is "partial 16S ribosomal RNA". It matches the Rfam family "Bacterial small subunit ribosomal RNA", at positions 338 to 795 of the family's 1533-position model. The record is from RNAcentral.